Molecule: non-coding RNA, 125 nt
Organism: Podarcis lilfordi (Lilford's wall lizard)
Lineage: Eukaryota; Metazoa; Chordata; Lepidosauria; Squamata; Lacertidae
Source: the annotation of a GenBank genome assembly
GUGAAGCUGUCAUCUCACACAGCUCUCUCUCUCUCUCUCUCUCUCUCUCUCUGUGUGUGUGUGUGUGUGUGAGAGAGAGAGAGAGAGAGAGAGAGAGAGAGAGAGAUGAAAGGGCAGCAAAUGGU